This is a non-coding RNA of Malassezia cuniculi, 72 nucleotides long. Lineage: Eukaryota; Fungi; Basidiomycota; Malasseziomycetes; Malasseziales; Malasseziaceae. The record is from the annotation of a GenBank genome assembly.
UCCCAGUUAGUACAGUGGCUAGUAUAUGACGCUCUCACCGUCAAGACCCGGGUUCAAUUCCCGGACUGGGAA